AAUAAAAAAUAAAAAAACAGACAAGGGAAGGAAACCCUCGCCACCACGCGCCGCCGCCGCCGCCGCCGCCGCCGCCGCCCGCCGCGCUACCACCUGUUGCUCGUACGAUCGGAUUCAAAUUGUCGCUUCUUUCUUCUUCCACAGCACAGGACGGGGUGUAGAAGAAGAAGAAGAAGAGCAUCAAGAGGAUGGGUUCACUGCGGCGGGUUGUGCACCUGGUGACCGCAUUGAACGGCAGCGCCAACCUCCGCCACAUCGACACGUCGCGUUUCUUCUCCCGCCGGCCGCCGCCGCCGUUCAGCCCGUCGUCCAUGGCGGUGGUGACGGAGGAAUCCUCCUUGCCGGAGCCCUCCAUGUCGUUCUACCCAGCUCCGGCCCCGCCGGAGAGCAACGGCGACAUCGGGGUGAUGCUCUUCGGCCGCGCCCGCGACAGGCUGCUGGUGACGGACCAGUCCGACAGCGCCGCCAUCUACGACGCCGGCACGCACGCCCUGCUCGCGGAGACCACCCCGCUGAAACCCAAGUACUGGCCAGUCUCCGUCCCUGUAGGCGACGACAUCUACCUCUUCGACCUGUACCCCAGGGUGCCCUGCGGCGGCCGCCAUUGCUUCGAGGCUGUCACGGCGGUGGAUUCCUCUUCUUCUUCUUACUGCUCCCGUGCGCUCCCGCCGCCGCCAUUCCUGUUUGCCCCGGGCUACAGCCCCAAGCCUAUCGAGUCCUACACGGUGGUCGGCGGAUCGGAGGUGUGGAUCUCCACGGCGCGCGCGGGCACCUACGCCUUCGACACGGUUAGCUGCAGCUGGAGCAAGCAGGCCGACUGGCCGAUGCCGUUCGCCGGCCUAGCGGAGUACGUCCCCGAGCACAAGCUCUGGUUCGGGCUCUCCUCCUCCAGGAGGGACAAGCACCCGCUCUGCGCCGUGGACCUCGCCGCCGCCGCCUCGCCGGAGACGGGGCCGGAGCUGACCAACGUGUGGAUGGAGCUGUCAGUGCCGAGGGAAUGGAUCCCGGUCGAGGCCUUCCUUGUGCACCUUGGCUCUAGCAGGUUCUUCGUGGCCAGAUUCUUCCAAGAGCUAGUCGAGGUGCGCUGCGACUUCUCGCAGCGGUUCGACAGGUUCGCUGUCUUCACCGGCGUUGAGCUGGAGCGCACCUCCCGUGGUGAGCUCCGGAUGAUCAAGCACAAGUCGGAGCGUUACAGCAUCGCUCACAAAGUCCUCUGCCAUAGUGUUCUUUGAUUUCACAACGUCCUCAUCGUACCUAUUUCCUCCGUUUCAUAUUGUAAGACUUUUUAGCAUUACCGACAUUAAUAUAUAUAUUAAUGAAUCUAGACAUAUAUACAUGUUUAGAUUCAUUAACAUCUAUAUAAAUGUGGGAAAUACUAGAAAGUCUUGUAAUAUGAAACGGAGGGAGUAUAUAUAUGUCUAGAUUCAUUAGCAUACGUAUGAAUGUCGGCAAUGCUAAAAAGUCUUAUAAUAUAAAACGGAGGGAGUAUCUAUGAUAAGGCAUGUAAACAAUCAAUUAUUUGGUUGGUGAAGAUGAGUUAGCUGGAGUAUUUUGAAAUUAUGCAAUUUCUUGUAAUACUCUGUAUUUUCAAACAGGAAAUUGGAAAAUAGAUGCUCCCUCUUUAGUUCAUUG
RNAcentral lists this long non-coding RNA (1632 nucleotides) under Oryza sativa tropical japonica subgroup. Its description in RNAcentral is "lncRNA OsAzu_02g0004020". The record is from RNAcentral. Lineage: Eukaryota; Viridiplantae; Streptophyta; Magnoliopsida; Poales; Poaceae.